RNAcentral lists this ribosomal RNA (476 nucleotides) under uncultured Methylophilaceae bacterium. Its description in RNAcentral is "bacterial SSU rRNA". It matches the Rfam family "Bacterial small subunit ribosomal RNA", at positions 39 to 510 of the family's 1533-position model. Lineage: Bacteria; Pseudomonadati; Pseudomonadota; Betaproteobacteria; Nitrosomonadales; Methylophilaceae. The record is from RNAcentral.
GCGGAAUGCUUUACACAUGCAAGUCGAACGGCAGCACGGGUGCUUGCACCUGGUGGCGAGUGGCGAACGGGUGAGUAAUAUAUCGGAACGUAUCCAAUAAUGGGGGAUAACUAAUCGAAAGGUUGGCUAAUACCGCAUACGCCCUACGGGGGAAAGCAGGGGAUCUUCGGACCUUGCGUUAAUGGAGCGGCCGAUAUCUGAUUAGCUAGUAGGUGAGGUAAAGGCUCACCUAGGCGACGAUCAGUAGCUGGUCUGAGAGGACGACCAGCCACACUGGAACUGAGACACGGUCCAGACUCCUACGGGAGGCAGCAGUGGGGAAUUUUGGACAAUGGGCGCAAGCCUGAUCCAGCCAUUCCGCGUGAGUGAAGAAGCCUUCGGGUUGUAAAGCUCUUUCGCAAGGGAAGAAACGAUACAGUCUAAUAAACUGUGUUAAUGACGGUACCUUGAUAAGAACACCGGCUAACUACGUGCCA